RNAcentral lists this long non-coding RNA (231 nucleotides) under Panax ginseng (ginseng). Its description in RNAcentral is "long non-coding RNA (PGIN_LNC005041)". The record is from RNAcentral. Lineage: Eukaryota; Viridiplantae; Streptophyta; Magnoliopsida; Apiales; Araliaceae.
AACUCAUUCUGAUUCGCCAAAUACAUGGUACAGAAACCAAAUACAAACUUUAUUAAUACAACUGUCGUGCAAAAUACGACAACAUAUACGCGGUGAGUUUUAAUACAAAUAUUGUCUUGUAGUCAAUAUCCAGACUCAAAUAAAGUACUAAUUACAAUUAUUGUUACACUAUUUUACAAAAUAGUGAAGACUGCUAUAAUAAUCAUCUUGAAUCAUUACUCCACUCUCCAA